This 151-nucleotide unclassified non-coding RNA is filed under the name uncultured Apodus. RNAcentral describes it as "sequence contains ITS1". The record is from RNAcentral. Lineage: Eukaryota; Fungi; Ascomycota; Sordariomycetes; Sordariales; Lasiosphaeriaceae.
CAGAGUUGCAAAACUCCCAACCCUUUGUGAACGAACCUGACAGUUGCUUCGGCGGCAGGCCCCUCUGGGGCCUCGCCCUCGCGGGUACCCCGCCGGAGUCCUACAAACUCUUGAUUAUUUUGGCAUCUCUGAGUAGCUUAUAAAUAAGUUA